Molecule: ribosomal RNA, 722 nt
Filed under: Escherichia coli
Lineage: Bacteria; Pseudomonadati; Pseudomonadota; Gammaproteobacteria; Enterobacterales; Enterobacteriaceae
Description: partial 23S ribosomal RNA
Rfam family: Bacterial large subunit ribosomal RNA
Source: RNAcentral
GUGGACCCGUGAUCCGGGUUGCGGACAGUGUCUGGUGGGUAGUUUGACUGGGGCGGUCUCCUCCUAAAGAGUAACGGAGGAGCACGAAGGUUGGCUAAUCCUGGUCGGACAUCAGGAGGUUAGUGCAAUGGCAUAAGCCAGCUUGACUGCGAGCGUGACGGCGCGAGCAGGUGCGAAAGCAGGUCAUAGUGAUCCGGUGGUUCUGAAUGGAAGGGCCAUCGCUCAACGGAUAAAAGGUACUCCGGGGAUAACAGGCUGAUACCGCCCAAGAGUUCAUAUCGACGGCGGUGUUUGGCACCUCGAUGUCGGCUCAUCACAUCCUGGGGCUGAAGUAGGUCCCAAGGGUAUGGCUGUUCGCCAUUUAAAGUGGUACGCGAGCUGGGUUUAGAACGUCGUGAGACAGUUCGGUCCCUAUCUGCCGUGGGCGCUGGAGAACUGAGGGGGGCUGCUCCUAGUACGAGAGGACCGGAGUGGACGCAUCACUGGUGUUCGGGUUGUCAUGCCAAUGGCACUGCCCGGUAGCUAAAUGCGGAAGAGAUAAGUGCUGAAAGCAUCUAAGCACGAAACUUGCCCCGAGAUGAGUUCUCCCUGACCCUUUAAGGGUCCUGAAGGAACGUUGAAGACGACGACGUUGAUAGGCCGGGUGUGUAAGCGCAGCGAUGCGUUGAGCUAACCGGUACUAAUGAACCGUGAGGCUUAACCUUACAACGCCGAAGGUGUUU